CUCCGACUCCUCGCAUGGGGUGUCGGGAAAGAUUUCAUCGGUAUGGGAUGGGGUCGCGUCCUAUCAGGUAGUCGGCGGGGUAACGGCCCACCGAGCCUACGGCGGGUAGCCGGCCUGAGAGGGCGACCGGCCACAUUGGGACUGAGAUAUGGCCCAGACUCCUACGGGAGGCAGCAGUGGGGAAUAUUGCACAAUGGGCGCAAGCCUGAUGCAGCGACGCCGCGUGCGGGAUGACGGCCUUCGGGUUGUAAACCGCUUUUGAUCGGGAGCAAGCCUUCGGGUGAGUGUACCUUUCGAAUAAGCACCGGCUAACUACGUGCCAGCAGCCGCGGUAAUACGUAGGGUGCAAGCGUUAUCCGGAAUUAUUGGGCGUAAAGGGCUCGUAGGCGGUUCGUCGCGUCCGGUGUGAAAGUCCAUCGCUUAACGGUGGAUCUGCGCCGGGUACGGGCGG
RNAcentral lists this ribosomal RNA (451 nucleotides) under uncultured Bifidobacterium sp. RNAcentral's name for it is "bacterial SSU rRNA". It matches the Rfam family "Bacterial small subunit ribosomal RNA", at positions 173 to 639 of the family's 1533-position model. The record is from RNAcentral. Lineage: Bacteria; Bacillati; Actinomycetota; Actinomycetes; Bifidobacteriales; Bifidobacteriaceae.